AUACGGAGGAUCCGAGCGUUAUCCGGAUUUAUUGGGUUUAAAGGGUGCGCAGGCGGCCAUUUAAGUCAGCGGUUAAAUCGUGGGGCUCAACCCCAUUCUGCCGUUGAUACUGGGUGGCUUGAUUGCGGUCGAGGUUGGCGGAAUUCGUUGUGUAGCGGUGAAAUGCAUAGAUAUGACGAAGAACACCGAUUGCGGAGGCAGCUGACCAGACCGCAAAUGACGCUCAUGCACGAAAGUGCGGGGAUCGAACAGGAUUAGAUACCCUGGUAGUCCGCACAGUAAACGAUGAAUACUUGUUUUCGGCGAUAUAAUGUCGGAGGCAAAGCGAAAGCGAUAAGUAUUCCACCUGGGGAGUACGCCGGCAACGGUGAAACUCAAAGGAAUUGACGUGG
Molecule: ribosomal RNA, 392 nt
Filed under: uncultured bacterium
Lineage: Bacteria
Description: partial 16S ribosomal RNA
Rfam family: Bacterial small subunit ribosomal RNA
Source: RNAcentral